RNAcentral lists this ribosomal RNA (718 nucleotides) under uncultured bacterium. RNAcentral describes it as "bacterial SSU rRNA". It matches the Rfam family "Bacterial small subunit ribosomal RNA", at positions 64 to 794 of the family's 1533-position model. The record is from RNAcentral.
GAGCGGAGAUAUAUGGAGCUUGCUUUAUAUAACUUAGCAGCGAACGGGUGAGUAACACGUAGAUAAUCUAUCCUAUACUGGGGGAUAGCCCGAUGAAAGUUGGAUUAAUACCGCAUAUAGCUAUAUAGUUGCAUGAUUAUGUAGUGAAAGAUUUAUCGGUAUAGGAGGAGUCUGCGGCACAUUAGCUAGUAGGUGAGGUAAAGGCUUACCUAGGCGACGAUGUGUAGCCGGUCUGAGAGGAUGAACGGCCACAAUGGAACUGAGACACGGUCCAUACUCCUACGGGAGGCAGCAGUGGGGAAUAUUGCACAAUGGGGGAAACCCUGAUGCAGCAACGCCGCGUGAGUGAAGAAGGUUUUCGGAUUGUAAAGCUCUGUUAGCAGGGAAGAGGAAGGACGGUACCUGCAGAGGAAGCCACGGCUAACUACGUGCCAGCAGCCGCGGUAAUACGUAGGUGGCAAGCGUUGUUCGGAAUAACUGGGCGUAAAGGAUGCGUAGGCGGUUAAACAAGUUAUAUGUUAAAUAUAUAGGCUUAACCUGUAGAAAGCAUAUAAAACUGUUUAACUAGAGUGCAGGAGAGGUAAGUGGAAUUCCUAGUGUAGCGGUGAAAUGCGUAGAGAUUAGGAAGAACACCAGUGGCGAAGGCGACUUACUGGACUGUAACUGACGCUGAGGCAUGAGAGCAUGGGGAGCAAACAGGAUUAGAUACCCUGGUAGU